GUGUCAGCAGCCGCGGUAAUACGUAGGGUGCAAGCGUUAAUCGGAAUUACUGGGCGUAAAGCGUGCGCAGGCGGUUUUGUAAGACAGUCGUGAAAUCCCCGGGCUCAACCUGGGAAUUGCGAUUGUGACUGCAAAGCUGGAGUGCGGCAGAGGGGGAUGGAAUUCCGCGUGUAGCAGUGAAAUGCGUAGAUAUGCGGAGGAACACCGAUGGCGAAGGCAAUCCCCUGGGCCUGCACUGACGCUCAUGCACGAAAGCGUGGGGAGCAAACAGGAUUAGAUACCCUAGUAGUCC
Molecule: ribosomal RNA, 292 nt
Filed under: uncultured bacterium
Lineage: Bacteria
Description: partial 16S ribosomal RNA
Rfam family: Bacterial small subunit ribosomal RNA
Source: RNAcentral